UGGCUCAGUUGGUAGAGCAUGGCGCUUGCACCGCCAAGGUUGUGGGUUUGAUUCCCGG
Molecule: transfer RNA, 58 nt
Filed under: Salmo salar (Atlantic salmon)
Lineage: Eukaryota; Metazoa; Chordata; Actinopteri; Salmoniformes; Salmonidae
Also listed under: 2 other names
Rfam family: tRNA
About the family: Transfer RNA (tRNA) molecules are approximately 80 nucleotides in length. Their secondary structure includes four short double-helical elements and three loops (D, anti-codon, and T loops).
Source: Rfam by way of RNAcentral